AAAAAAGAGAGUAAAAAGUACGAUGGCCUUAAGAGAAAACUAAAGCCCGUUUCGAGCAUGCUCACAUACACUUAUUUCGUAUCGUCAUUAACUCAUCAAUUGAGUACAUAAAGUGCAAUGGAGCUUUAACGAUGGUGAAUAGCUGCAUCAGCCCUUGUGAGAUUCUUCUGGUUUCUUAUCGGCCUUCUCCUUCUCAGCUUCGGCCUUCGCUUUCUCCAGCUUCAAUUUCUCGGCCCUCUCCCUCUCCUUUUUCUGGAUGUAGACGGUCUCGGCGGCUCUCUCCUCCUCGCUGAGAAUCUUGCCGGAGCUGUAGCGGAGAGAGGUCAUCAGUGCCG
This 335-nucleotide unclassified non-coding RNA is filed under the name Hevea brasiliensis (rubber tree). Lineage: Eukaryota; Viridiplantae; Streptophyta; Magnoliopsida; Malpighiales; Euphorbiaceae. The record is from RNAcentral.